UACAUGGGGUGCAAACGUUGCUCGGAAUCAUUGGGCGUAAAGCGCGCGUAGGCGGUUACUUAAGUCGGAUGUGAAAGCCCUCGGCUUAACUGAGGAAGUGCAUCCGAAACUGAGUAGCUGGAGUACGAAAGAGGGUCGCGGAAUUCCCGGUGUAGAGGUGAAAUUCGUAGAUAUCGGGAGGAACACCGGUGGCGAAGGCGGCGACCUGGGUCGAGACUGACGCUGAGACGCGAAAGCGUGGGGAGCGAACAGG
RNAcentral lists this ribosomal RNA (253 nucleotides) under uncultured bacterium. Its description in RNAcentral is "partial 16S ribosomal RNA". It matches the Rfam family "Bacterial small subunit ribosomal RNA", at positions 524 to 776 of the family's 1533-position model. The record is from RNAcentral.